AUGGGUGUACAUGGGGGGUGGGGUGAGUGCAGUCACCAAGGGGGCCGGCAGCUGUGCAGGUCCUGGGCCCUCACUCACAAUUGGAGGAAGGAAUUCAGGAAGUGCUCACAGCUGCUCAGACAUCUCAGAGCUUCGUCCCAGGCAGCACCAAGGCUGAGGCACCCAGGGAUGAGCGUUCCAUGGCCUGGGCCCUGGGGUAGCCAUCAGGUCAGGAGACCCCGGCACUGCAUACAGCCACAGCUGCCCCUCUGGAAGCCAGGGCUUCCGCAUCCAAGAAGUCUUGAGCUUACGUCUUUCAGGACAGCGCUUCUUCCAGAGCUGCCAGUGGAGUUGCCCACGGCUCUUGGAAGCCUGGCCCAAGGCUGAGAAAACAGUGACAGAGACCCAGUGAGGUCGAAAUAGAGCCGUGUGGGGUGCCCAACAGCCCAGAGUGGGUACCAGCCAGGGCCUCAGACCAGUAUCUCCUUAGAAGACCACAGGGAGAGCAGCCGGAGGAGCAAGGGUACCUGCCAUCACCAGCAGCUCCUCGCUUCAGAUGGGGAGCGAAUGAGGUCCAAAACACACCCUGGGUUGCUCAGUGGGUUAGUGGCCAUACGGGGCCAUGGAAACAGCAGUGAUUGGAGUGGUGGCUGUGCUAUUCGUGGUCACCGUGGCCAUCACCUGUGUCCUCUGCUGCUUCAGCUGUGACUCAAGGAGCCAGGAUCCUCAGGGGGCCCCGAGCCCCAGCUUCACAGUAGCCACGUUUCGCAAGGAGGCUUCUCUCUUCACUGGGCCAGAUCACAAUGCUCAGCCAGUGGCAGGUGCCUGGGACUUCUGGACCUUCAUGUGAAAUAUACCAGCCCCCCAGGAUUUGCUCUUGUUGUUUAGUCGCUCAGUCGUGUCCAACUCUUUGUGACCCCAUGGAUUGUAGCCUGCCAGAUUCUGCUGUCCAUGGAAUUCUCCAGGCAAGAAUACUGGACUGGGUAGCCAUUCUCUUCUGCAGGGGAUCUUCUUGACCCAGGGACUGAACCCAAGUCUCCUGUAUUAGCAGGCGGAUUCUUUACCAUGAAGCCACCAGGAAAGCCCAAGAUUUCCUCUGCUGCUGGUCAGACUCCUCUUCCCCCAGCAAGCCUUCUCUGGUGACCCACUCCUCCAGCCUGGCAUUUCUGUCCCAUCCAGCCUGUAUCCAGCAGACUCCUGGCCCAUCCUAUCCUGGUUUGCCAUGCCCUCCAGCCUGGGAGAUCUAUGGUGAUGGGACCAGGUAGGAGUUAGCUCUGACCCCUGAGAGUUCAGCUGGACCCUACCCACAGGGUGGGGCUUACGAGAGGUUGAGAGUGAGUGACCAGGCAAUAUUGGAUGGCAUGGUGGGCCAGCUCUUCUGAUCUACAAGGUGCAGUGAAAUAUCACUGGACUUUAUUGUGAAAAGAGUGUUGAUUAUCUCAAGUUGUCCCUGUGAAACUGGUUCUAUUGCCACCAGAGGAAGCAGCGCCCUCAAGUGGACAGUUUUAGAAACCACUUUUUAUCUCUCAAGUGAGUCAUUUUGCUAUUUGCCUGCGCAUGUACUGCAGAGCCCACUUCUGAGACCUGCCUCCUACCUGUUACCUGAAAUCCGCCCUGAAAUUCUGAAACCAAAGGGCUGCUUCCUGGGAACUGGCGAUUCAUUUUAUAAUUGAAAAUGCAUAUCCUUUUAUGGGUCUCCCAAGAAUCAGGGCUGGGAAACCACAAAAGGAAACAAAGAAAAAAAGUCACAGAAAGUACCAGAUGUUUUAUUAAUAGGAAAGCCAGAAAGAAGACUUUGAAACAUAUUUGCAUGAGACUUUGUUUCUAUAUUCUUAUGGGUCACUUCUAUUCUUAGAGACUGUGACUUGCAUCACUCAAGAAUGAUGGAAAAAUCACCAACUGAAAGGUAAUUUCGAAUAAGUUAAAAUGUUAUAUUGUAUUGACAGUAUGUAACAAAGCUCUUGUUUGCAUCACAAAUAAAGAGAUGUUCUGCUUUUAUUUAUGGAAGAGCCGUUUUCUCUGUACCCAUGAAAUGCAUGCCAGACCAUAUUUAGCAAAUUGUUUGAAGGAUGCAGAAUUGAGUCUCCUGACUCAUGUCUCCAUCCAGCACUGAAGGAAUGACUCUCCCAGGACCUGCCGUUGAAGGGAGCAGGACUGACCUAGAGAGGAGGUCUGGUCCCUAAGGGUGCCUGGAUGGGCCACCCUGGCCAUGUGGCUGCCAUAGAAGGACUCGCAGAGAGAGAUGCUUGGGGCUGUGAAGGUGCAGAGGUGUAAGGAGCCAGGGAGAGAGUCAGGCUGGUGGAGAGGGGUGAGUAUGGCAAGGGGAGAGGCACAACACAGGGAGGGCCCGGAGCGCCUAAGGACCCUGUAUCGGUCUCUCUGGACCCUAGAGCCCGCAAGCAGAGCCUUCACAGAUGCAUGUGGAGCGCUACAGGGAGGACCCGGAGGGCCUCAGCGGAGUGGAGUGAACGGUUCGGUUCACGUUCUCUGAAAGUGAAGCCCAGACAGAGUUUGGGGUGUGAGAUGUUUGUAGGGAUCAACAGCUGUGAGGGGAAGGAGGGGGAAGCAGGAUUAGAUAGAGGAAGGAGUCAAAGAUGAUGCAGGCCCUUAAUAUCCCCCCAUCUUUGCUCUUCUCUGGGUGCCCCCACCCCCUGAGGUUUGACCUCAGGCAAAGUGGCUCUGGAGCAGAGGCUGGCCCUGAAGUCCUUCCUUGGAGGGGUCCUGUGUGGCACGUCUCCACAGGAGCUCAGCAGUGGCCUGUUCUCAGAGUUGGGUGAGGGUGUCCAGGCAGAGAGAAACACCGGGCACAGGAACUCCAGGUGGGCAGAGCUGGUGGUACAAGGCCUGGGAGGAGACAAGAGUGGGCCUCAGCCUCUCUCUGUCCUCAAGCAGAGUUAGCUCUGCUGGAGGUCCAGCACCUUCAGCUGGACCCAAGUGUCAGGACCCUGGGUCCAGGGCUUUGCCUCUGUGUGGUGUGGUCACAUUCUUCCCUGAGUCCUUGGAGGAAGGGUCUGUAGGCUGGACUCAGCUCUGAGAACAAGCAAUGGUGAGGGGACAGCCUCGCUCUGUGGGUGGGCAGUCUGUCAAGCCCCAGGUUCUCAUGUGCUCACUCACUCAUCCACCCACCUACCCACCCAUCUGUCCAUCUGUCCACUGACUCCACCUACUUGCUGAGCCUUACUUCCUUACCUACUCAUGCAUGCAUUCAUUCAUUCCAUCACUCAUUCACUCCUCCAUUUAAUAAACACUGGCUGAGCACCGACUGUGCACCAGGCCCCACCCAGGGAAUGUGAAAGUCACCAAGACCCAGUCCCAGCAAUCGAUGAACACCCAGUUUAGUCAUCUGGACAAGGGUGCUCAGGGGAGAGAGAGCUGGGAGUCCCCGGGGAACCCGGGAGGAGGUGAUCUUUGAGUUGGACUUGAAGAAAAGUAGGCACUUCAACAAGAAGAGUUUGGGGGAGGGCCCCCCAGAGGGACUGGCAGGAUUGGAGAUUCAGAGAAUGUGUGCGGCAGGGCGUAGGGGGUCAGACUGAGUGGGGGCCAGGAGACGAAACACAGCCAGCUCCUGUGGGAACCCCUUAUUGCCACACUUGUCCAGUAUGUUUCUGGGCAAGCGAAGGCAACGAAAAGGCAGCCUGGCUUGUUAGUCUGGGCAGGAGAAGUCUUUCCCAGCACACACACAUGGGCACUGCAACCUGCCGUUGCUACAGGGGAGUGGUAGCUUCUGCAGUAAGAGCUGGAGGAAAGGUCCCGGGAGACUCAGAGGGUGGCCAGCACUGGGCGCAGGUGGAGCUGAGGGCUAGGGAGAGGAUGUCCCAGGAAAGCAGGGCAUUUGAGAAAGGCAGGCAGUCAGGCCAGCACCCUGGAGCUGGCUGACAAGAGGGAGAGGGGACCAGGAGGAGAAGCUAGAGAAGGGGCAGGAAGGUUGGGAGUAGGGUUCCAGAUUUAGCAAAUAAAAAUAUAGGGCAUCUGGUUAAUUUUAAUUUCAGGUAGACAACAAAUAAUUUUCAGUAUACACACGUCCCAGGCAGUACUGGGAAUAUACUUACACUAAAACAUUACUCGUUGUCUAUCUGAGGCUCAGAUUGAACUGGGGUGUCCAUAUUUUGUCUGGCAAUCCUACGAAGGUGGGAGUGGUUCUCAGAGAGGGGGGUUAACUGGCUGAAGCUUCAGGGAGGUGAAGGUGAGCAUCCGGAAGAGGCCUCAAAUUUUGCAAUGGACUGUCGACAAUGACCUUGGUGAGAACAGCUUGAGUGGAGUGAAGGGAGCAGCCCUAUGGGCAGUGUGCAAGUGUACACGUGUCUGCAGUGUGUGUGUGUGUUCAGGUGAGUGUGUGUGUUCACAUGUGUGUGUGUGCUCAGGGGCAGUGGAGUCAGUGGGAGCUGAGUCAGCAGAGGAUAAGGACUGAAGAUAAUCUGAAGGGAAGAAGGGCGAGGUAUUGUGGCCCGAGGGGCAUGGCCUUGAAGGAGAGUUUAUUAUUGGUGUUUUUAAGCAGGGAGGGAGGUUGAGCAUGCGGAAGACCUGAAGGAGAAGGAUUGCAGAGGAGACAGUGACAAUUUUCAGCAAGGAGGAGCCCCACGGAAGGGGUGGGGUGGGAGUCAAGGAGUCAGGCAAGUGGGGCAAGGGAAUGCUGCUGGAAAAGAUGCUCAAGAGUACGGGUAAACGCUCAUGUUGUGUGUGUGGUGGGGGAGGAGGGAGAUGAGGGCAUCAUGCCAGAUGGUUUGUUUACUCAGUGAAGCAGGAGCAUCUGCUCAGAGAUGGGUUUGGGGACCUGAGGUCAAGGAGAGCCUGGACUGAUGACCCAGAGCAGAGAGGAGCAGCCGUCCUGCUGUUCUCACGUGAGGAGUAUGUGUGUGGCAUCUCUGUGUGUAUGCUGUAUGGUGUGAGUGUACAUGUUGUGUGGUAUGUAUGUUGUGCAUGUGUGCAUGUUGUGUGGUGUGUAUUUAUGUUGUGGUGUGUGUUGGCCUGAAGUGCUCUGCCCUUUCACCCAGGGCAGCCCAUCAUGUAAAAAGGGG
This 4994-nucleotide long non-coding RNA is filed under the name Bos grunniens (domestic yak). RNAcentral describes it as "lncRNA (ENSBGRG00000003450.1)". Lineage: Eukaryota; Metazoa; Chordata; Mammalia; Artiodactyla; Bovidae. The record is from RNAcentral.